Oncorhynchus tshawytscha (Chinook salmon) is the source of this 1164-nucleotide long non-coding RNA. The record is from Ensembl. Lineage: Eukaryota; Metazoa; Chordata; Actinopteri; Salmoniformes; Salmonidae.
UGUGUUAACCUGGACCCAUAGAGAGUCAUUCACAGGGUGAUUAAUAGGAGAAACACAAUGCUAGAUUAAGAUGUAUAUAGAUGAUUAGGUGUCUGGUCUAUUCAGGGCUCUGGUUAAAAGUAGUGCACUAUAUAGGGAAUAGGGCUGUAGUAUAAAGUAGUGCACUAUAUAGGGAAUAGGGCUGUAGUAUAAUGUUGUGCACUAUAUAGGGAAUAGGGCUCUGGUCUAAAGUAGUGCACUAUCUAGGGAAUAGGGCUCUGGUCUAAAGUAGUGCACUAUAUAGGGAAUAGGGCUCUGGUCUAAAGUAGUGCACUAUAUAUGGAAUAGGGCUUUGGUCUAAAGUAGUGCCCUAUAUAGGGAAUAGGGCUCUGGUCUAAAGUAGUGCACUACAUGGUGAAUAAGGGGCCAUAUUGGAUACAGCCUCUAUGUGAGUUUGGUUGGGCACAAGCCUGGGCCUGUGUGUAAAGUAGUGCACUAUAUAGUGAAUAAGGGGCCAUAUUGGACACAAGCCUGGGCCUGUGUGUAAAGUAGUGCACUAUAUAGUGAAUAAGGGGCCAUAUUGGACACAAGCCUGGGCCUGUGUGUAAAGUAGUGCACUAUAUAGUGAAUAAGGGGCCAUAUUGGACACAAGCCUGGGCCUGUGUGUAAAGUAGUGCACUAUAUAGUGAAUAAGGGGCCAUAUUGGACACAAGCCUGGGCCUGUGUGUAAAGUAGUGCACUAUAUAGUGAAUAAGGGGCCAUGUUGGACACAAGCCUGGGCCUGUGUGUAAAGUACUUCUGCAUUCUAAAGUGUUGGUAUUCCAGCAUCUUGUAUCUUUUAAUAAAGGUGAUUUAAUCAGCCACUUCCUGUCUGUCUGAACAUGUGGACUCAACAUCAUUCCAAUAAGGCACUCAAAUAAGCGGACGAUAGGUGAAGGUACACUCUAUAUAUUUAUAUACAAAAGUACGUGGACACCCCUUCAAAUUUAGCGGAUUUGGCUAUUUCAGCCACACCCGUUGCUGACGUGUAUAAGAAAUCGAGCACACAGCCAUGAAAUCUCCAUAGACACUCGGCAGUACCGUUCUGUGAGCUUGUGUGGCCUACCACUUCAUGGCUGAGCCGUUGUUGCUCCUAGACUAUCCCACUUCACAAUAACAGCACUUACAGUUGACCCGGGGCAGCUC